UCCUCAGUAGCUCAGCGGUAGAGUGGUCGGCUAUUAAUUGACUGGUCAUAGGUUCGAAUCCUACUUGAGGAC
RNAcentral lists this transfer RNA (72 nucleotides) under Corchorus capsularis. It matches the Rfam family "tRNA". From Rfam's summary of the family: Transfer RNA (tRNA) molecules are approximately 80 nucleotides in length. Their secondary structure includes four short double-helical elements and three loops (D, anti-codon, and T loops). Further hydrogen bonds mediate the characteristic L-shaped molecular structure. tRNAs have two regions of fundamental functional importance: the anti-codon, which is responsible for specific mRNA codon recognition, and the 3' end, to which the tRNAs corresponding amino acid is attached (by aminoacyl-tRNA synthetases). tRNAs cope with the degeneracy of the genetic code in two manners: having more than one tRNA (with a specific anti-codon) for a particular amino acid; and 'wobble' base-pairing, i.e. permitting non-standard base-pairing at the 3rd anti-codon position. The record is from Rfam by way of RNAcentral. Lineage: Eukaryota; Viridiplantae; Streptophyta; Magnoliopsida; Malvales; Malvaceae.